CCUACGGGUGACAGCAGUGAGGAAUAUUGGUCAAUGGACGAGAGUCUGAACCAGCCAAGUAGCGUGAAGGAUGACUGCCCUCUGGGUUGUAAACUUCUUUUAUAAAGGAAUAAAACGAGGCACGUGUGCCUUUUUGCAUGUACUUUAUGAAUAAGGAUCGGCUAACUCCGUGCCAGCAGCCGCGGUAAUACGGAGGAUCCGAGCGUUAUCCGGAUUUAUUGGGUUUAAAGGGAACGUAGAUGGGAUGUUAAGUCAGUUGUGAAAGUUUGGGGCUCAACCGUAAAAUUGCAAUUGAUACUGGCAGUCUGGAGUAUAGUAGAGGAUGGUGGAAUUCGAGGUGUAGGGGUGAAAUGCGUAGAUAUCACGAAGAACCUCGAUGGCGAAGGCAGCUUACUAA
RNAcentral lists this ribosomal RNA (397 nucleotides) under uncultured bacterium. RNAcentral's name for it is "partial 16S ribosomal RNA". It matches the Rfam family "Bacterial small subunit ribosomal RNA", at positions 338 to 732 of the family's 1533-position model. The record is from RNAcentral.